GACCACAAGGGGGCACUUGGCAUUUAGGCAAGUGCAGGGAGCCUUUCCUCGCCGGUGCUGACGCUUUUACACGAUCCAAGUGCGUGUCGCAUCGAGAAAUACGCUGUGCUAAUAAUAUUGAGGGUUCCUUAAAGAACUUUCUUAAACAGUUAGAAGAAGAGAAGAAAAGUCUCCAGAACCAGUUAAAGGACUAUGAACUUAGACUGGAACAAGAAGCAAAGGCUUACCACAAAGUUAAUGAUGAAUGGCGCUUGUACCUCUCGUAGAUCUUACAGACCUCACCUAAACCUAAAACUGUUGAAAGGAAAAAAACCAGAUGCUCUGACCUGCAAGGGAGAAGAACAGAUACUGAGUGCAAAACCACUUCAAAACAAUGAAAGGACUCAGGCAUCUGAUGGCUGGGCUUCCAUCACCACCAGCCUGUGUCAUGUCACAGAGAUAUUCCUGACAGAUGUGGACCCUUCAGGAUCUGUAUUGAAUUAUGCUUCUUCACUGCUGAGUGUCAACACACCAGGUCUGUUCAUCAUGCACAAGAAGACAGUCUAAGAGAAAGAGUUGGGGUUGUUCAGCCUGGACAAGAGAAGGCUCUGGGGAGACCUUAUAGCAGCCUUCCAGGACAUAAAAGGCACCUGCAAGAGAGCAGGAGAGAGACUUUUCACAAGUGGAUAUAGUGAUAGAAGAGAAGAGGUAAUGGUUUUAAACUGUCAAAUGGUAGAUUCAGGUAUUAGGAGGAAAUUUUUUACUUUGAGGGUGGUGAGACGCUGCCACUGGUUGCACAUAGAAGCUGUGGGUGCCCCAUCCCUGGAAGUCUUCAAGCCCAGGCUGGAUCAACUUGAGGCUUUGAUGAACUUGGUCUAGAGAAGCUGUCCCUGCCCAUGGCAGGGGCGUUGGAAUGAGAUGAUCUUUAAGGUCCCUUCCAACCCAAGGCAUUCUAGGAUUCUAUGAUUCCAUGAUGUUGGCAAGUGUAUAACCUAUCCCUAGUCAGGAGCAAUUUUUCUUAAUCUUAUAAUAGCCUGGGUCAUUGUUCUUCUGAGACCUGUUUUUGUGCUGUACAUGUGAUCAAGGUCUGUCAUAGAUGCUGCCUCAGACCAAGUCCUUUGGCACCCUGCUCUGAUUUACCUGGAAGCAUUCCCACAAGCAACCCUGACAGUUUUAUAUUUAUGUUGUGAAGUGCUUUGGGCUCCAGAAACCAGGGCCAGACUUCUGUCCUAGGAUUAUGUAUCACCUUCUCUAAUGACCUGGAAAACACACCAGAAUACAGCGCUCAGAAACUCAGUAGAAACAACCACACAACAGCCACUGAGGGAGAAUUUUCACUCAUCCCAGCUGCUAAAGGGGCUUUGUGCCAACAAGAGAGGCAAUGCAAGACUGCAGCAAGCUACUAUCAAUACCCUUGUCAAAGAAAUGUUGAUAGCUUGCAUUGCUACUUCACGAGUCUCAAACCAGAAUUAAGUGACCUUCAGGUUUCCAUUCACAAACAAAAUGGAAUAAUAAAAUGUAAAGAUGCUUUGAGCAUGGAUUUGGCUUUCACUUGUCCUGAGGAUCUUGCUGAAGACCUUAGCUGGGCUGGUUUACAGGCAGUGUGUGACUGUGAUUUAUGUUUUUUUUACACAAGUGCCCAUCUUCCUCUCAGGUCAUCCACCUAGUCUGCAGCUGAGAUCCAUGGAGAUACAGAAAAAGGAGUAAAGCAGCUGCAGUUUAAAAGAC
Taeniopygia guttata (zebra finch) is the source of this 1707-nucleotide long non-coding RNA. Lineage: Eukaryota; Metazoa; Chordata; Aves; Passeriformes; Estrildidae. The record is from Ensembl.